Long non-coding RNA from Helicoverpa armigera (cotton bollworm), 807 nucleotides. RefSeq lists it as uncharacterized. NCBI's taxonomy places the organism in Eukaryota, Metazoa, Arthropoda, Insecta, Lepidoptera, Noctuidae. The transcript has 2 exons. The record is from RefSeq and is a predicted model, not a curated record.
UCAAGUAAUAAAAGACAACCAGAUAAAUAUAAAAUCUUCAUAAACUAACAUAAUAUUUAUAAAUUCUGUGUCACAUAUUUUCGUGUCAGUUAGACACGAAAAUAUGUGACACAGAAUGUAGACAUAUUUUCUUAGAGGUACUUAUUUCAAUUUUAAAAGAAUUGUCGUCGUAACAAAAAUAUUUAUUGUUAUUUAAAAAAUGACAUUUAUAGUGGCCUAUUUUUGUGCCUGGUAUAAAUUCUAUAGUACCAACUAAGAAAUAAUAAUUAUCCUUAAUGCUACGAGUAAUCGGCAAUUCAGUGAGUAAAACUGAGUCUGCAGCUCCGUUUAAAUCAAAUGUUAUGAUCUCGCCUAGCUUAAGUUCACCUUUCAACUCUGUGUCACAUUUUUGACACAUUGUGUUAACACAAAGAAAUUUUAAUCUAUUUGUGACUUUGAUUUUUAUAAAGUAUGCACUCUCCCUAAAAAAAUAAGACGUGAAUAACGAAAAUUUCGAAUAUGUGAAAAUGCAUGGACACCCUACUCUCAUACAGUUUCAUACCACUGUGUUUUUGUAAAUAUCUCCUAAAAUACGAAUGCUGCAGUUAAAUUCGCUAUAUUUAUUCAAACUAGGUUACGUUACCCAUCGACUAGUACUUUAAUUAAGCUAAAACCUACUUUUAAUAACGAGAAAAACGAAAUUGUAUUUUAGGCAUAUUGCCGUCCGCGCGGCCAACUAAAAUCGACUCUAACAUAUUAUUGAACCUGCUUUCUAGUAUUUUUUUGUCUUUUUUCGCUGUAACAAAUUAAAGACUAAUUUUCUAUACA